UCGGUAGGUGAACCUGCCGUUGGAUCAGUU
RNAcentral lists this ribosomal RNA (30 nucleotides) under Trichomonas sp. RWG-2007-1. RNAcentral describes it as "partial 18S ribosomal RNA". The record is from RNAcentral. Lineage: Eukaryota; Parabasalia; Trichomonadida; Trichomonadidae.